RNAcentral lists this ribosomal RNA (440 nucleotides) under uncultured bacterium. RNAcentral's name for it is "partial 16S ribosomal RNA". It matches the Rfam family "Bacterial small subunit ribosomal RNA", at positions 338 to 795 of the family's 1533-position model. The record is from RNAcentral.
CCUACGGGUGGCAGCAGUGGGGGAUAUUGCACAAUGGGGGAAACCCUGAUGCAGCGACGCCGCGUGAGUGAAGAAGUAUUUCGGUAUGUAAAGCUCUAUCAGCAGGGAAGUAAGUGACGGUACUUGAUUAAUAAGACGCGGCGAAAUACGUCCCAGCAGCCGCGGUAAUACGUAGGGGGCAAGCGUUGUCCGGAGUGACUGGGUGGAAAGGGAGCGUAGACGGCAGCACAAGUCUGGAGUGAAAGGCCGGGGCUUAACCCCGGAACUGCUUUGGAAACUGGGCAGCUGGAGUGCAGGAGAGGCAGGUGGAAUUCCUAGUGUAGCGGUGAAAUGCGUAGAUAUUAGGAGGAACACCAGUGGCGAAGGCGGCUUACUGGACUGUAACUGACGUUGAGGCUCGAAAGCGUGGGGAGCAAACAGGAUUAGAUACCCUUGUAGUC